Pelobates cultripes (western spadefoot toad) is the source of this 254-nucleotide non-coding RNA. Lineage: Eukaryota; Metazoa; Chordata; Amphibia; Anura; Pelobatidae. The record is from the annotation of a GenBank genome assembly.
GCCACAGGCUGAAUAUCCUACAGGCCCAAACAACAGGAGGAGGAGGAUCACAGGAAACUUGUUGCUGGCCCGGCUCCUAAGUGGCACUGAGGUCAGUCUGAUCUGUCACCACCCACUUCCUCACAUCUCACACUCCCACACGUAGCACAUAGCCAAUCAUGCACCAUCCAUCCCACACUCCCACAUGUAGCAUAUAGCCAAUCAUGCAUCAUCCAUCCCACAUUUAUACAUGUGCCCCUGUCCGCUAAGCUGCG